Molecule: long non-coding RNA, 551 nt
Organism: Mustela erminea (ermine)
Lineage: Eukaryota; Metazoa; Chordata; Mammalia; Carnivora; Mustelidae
Exons: 3
Source: RefSeq, a predicted model, not a curated record
AUAGGAAGUUCCACUUAUACUUUACUGUCCCUGGGGCUGGAAAGGGCAAGAGUGAUCUCCCACCAGGGCUCCCAGCAAUGGCGCCAUCAGCCCCCCCACCCCGAGCCUGGGACGUUACUACAGCUGGAGUUCGUUUGCAUCGGGAUUGCAGCUCCCUUCGGGAGCUAAGUCUGCAUUAUGCAAAUGACUUGUGCCAGGACUUUCCAGAAAUUACCAAGCCACGGGGAUUUGCCUGACUGCUUCACCCUUUCCAUCCAGCUCCAGACUGAAAACAGAUACCGUUGGUCAAUGCACAGUUUCAGGACUUGACAAGCCAGAGAUUCUGAUGAAUCCGCAUCACGGCACUGAACUUUUCCAGAAUAAUGUACCGCGUUUCUGACUGAGAGAGGAAACAAAACAAGAUUCGGAAGGCUCCGAAUCUUGACGGCAACUUUGACAUUCAAGACCCCUGAGAAACAGCGUCUGCGCGUGCCAUGUUGCCCCUCCGCGGACACACCCCUCGGACGUAGGUCAGUUGAAGGACGAAGUUUCGUGGAGCCAACAGAAGUACG